UUGAUGACGUCAUGUUAUCUUUCUACGUCUAUAUAUUUAGAAGAAAUUACGGGUAAAGACAACAUAAGUUUAGUUGUUUUUGAAACAAAAAAUUAAUAAUAUGUAAUACCUAUCUUCGAAGAUGAACUUACACGAAUAUUCUUCAAACCAAGAAGUUACGAAGUGGGAUGAAGAUGCUAACGAGGGUUUUCUGUUAGAUUACUAAACCAUAUCGAUGAAUUGAUUGAAUUUUAAGAAGAAAUAAAGAGACAACAGGAUGAUCUUAACGAAGAACAAUUAGAUAUUGGAUUUUAUGAAGAAGAAUUGUUUGAAUUUGUAAAUGGUAUCAAUGACGAAAAUGAAGAUACUGAUGAUAACAUACGUUUUGCUUGUGAACAGGCUUUAUUUGAAAUUCAGAGACAUGGUCAAUUAGGUUUAGGUAUGCACAGUACGGUAAGCUUUUGUGAAAAACGAUAACAUAGUGAGACGACAUGGACAAGGAAGGCAUAAAAAACUGAUUUACAAAGAUGAAGACGAAGAAAUUGAAGAAGAAGAAGAAGGAAAAGAAGGAGAAGGAGAAGAAGAUAAUAGUGUAAGACGACAUGUCAAGGAGAACAUAUGAAGAUGAUAUUUUAUGAACAGGAAAACGAAGAAAUUGAAGAAGACGAUGAAAACGUUAUAGUACAAUACGGAGCAGGAAAACACGUUAAACAAAUGUCUGUGUGCGGUAACAAGAGAUCAAGAAAAUAUGAGGAUAACGACGAUGAUGAAGAUGAUGAAGAUGAAAUGGAUUUCGAUAACAUGGACGUAAGGGAGUUAUAAGGAAACUGAACGAUAAAUUAAAUUUUAAAAAAAAAUGAAAAUGUUUGCGAGUGAUCAUUUAGUUACUUUAGUAGGCUAAAGAAAGCCUUUAAAAAUCCAUACAGAUAGAGGUUCAGAAUUUGCAAACAAAAAGGUUCAAGCAUAUCUUAAAUCACGAGGCAUACAUUCUCUACGACAAACAAUUAAACAUAGUGUUGUUGAGAGAUUGAGAUGUUGAGAUGUUACGACAAGCCAGUAAAGUUCGAAUACAUUUUACAAGAACAUAAUGGUGAAGAUGUUUGCGGUAAUGGUACGGAUGAAAAGAUGGUGGCGGAAAGAGAAAACAAGCUGAGGAAAAAAGAUGAUGGUACAACGCACGGAGGAGAAAAAAAAAGAUGAUAUAUGCAAAAUUCCAAUAACCAAUACAAUUAGUUAAAUCAGUAUGAAGACGUGUAUGUGGAUUGAUAAGGAAAAAAAUAUGCUGGUAAUAGAGACUCUCUUUAAGCUCUACUUUCUAAUGCGAAAUCAUUCAUUUUUACGAAACCAUUGAGCUUUAAAACUAUAUCGGUAUAUUAUAACUUAAUAUACUUCAUCAAUAAAUAUGACUUGCUCUUCAUACAAUACUCAAGAAAUCAACGAGGAACCAAUCCUGAUUAUCAGUGAUGAAGAGAUUCCUUUAAUUUAAAUCUUAGUCUUUAAAUGAGGAACCAAUCAUUAUAAACAUUAGCAGUGUACAUACAGUGCGUAAUUGAGAAAUAAUGAACCAGUCGUGAUUAGCAGCGAUGACGAGAUUCAUGAAUGAUCCGGCGUAGAUCUAUUUCGCUGGAUGACGAUAUAACAAAUUAAAUCAUUCGUAUUACCGGUACUGAAGAAGAAAUCCUAAAUAAUCCUACGUACGAUAUAUCUGACUUCCAUUGCACCUGGCGGCGAAUCCUGACACCAUAUACGAAGACAGUGUGUUUGAGCAGGAAAGAAUCGUCCAGGAUGUCCAAGCUGAUGGGAUGAUGAUAAAAGAAAUUACGGCAACGAAUAUACAUUGAACAUUUUUUAGUUGUACUAAAGAGAUUGAAAGAGACUGUUAUGGAUGCGAAUUCGACAAAGCGAGUCAUGUAGACUAAAGACAUGUGUUUAAUGAUGACCGGAUACGAACAAUUAAGCAAUUAUUUCGAACAAAUUUUAUAUGGUAAUUAAGAUGAUCAAGUAUGUAUGAUCAAUAGCUCGAUCGACAAGGUCUUUCCAUCAUUUCUUGCAUUUGAUUCAAGCCGACAUUCAUUUAUUUGAUAAACUUUUAAAUGCUUGG
This 2080-nucleotide long non-coding RNA is filed under the name Anneissia japonica. RNAcentral describes it as "uncharacterized LOC117117826". The record is from RNAcentral. Lineage: Eukaryota; Metazoa; Echinodermata; Crinoidea; Comatulida; Comatulidae.